UCUAUUCGGCCGGAUCGGACCUAUGCUGGUUUUCACCGCGGUUAUACUUCUAACAAUAAUUAUCACCGGGUUAAAACUUGCAGAGGUCCGGUCCGGCCUU
MicroRNA precursor from Caenorhabditis brenneri, 100 nucleotides. It matches the Rfam family "mir-36 microRNA precursor family". NCBI's taxonomy places the organism in Eukaryota, Metazoa, Nematoda, Chromadorea, Rhabditida, Rhabditidae. The record is from Rfam.